Molecule: ribosomal RNA, 177 nt
Filed under: uncultured bacterium
Lineage: Bacteria
Description: partial 16S ribosomal RNA
Rfam family: Bacterial small subunit ribosomal RNA
Source: RNAcentral
GCUGGAAUCGCUAGUAAUCGCGGAUCAGAAUGCCGCGGUGAAUACGUUCCCGGGUCUUGUACACACCGCCCGUCACACCAUGGGAGUCGGAAUGCCCGAAGUCUGUGACCCAACCUGAGAGGGAGGGAGCAGCCGAAGGCAGGUCUGAUGACUGGGGUGAAGUCGUAACAAGGUAAC